GGGCGCGGCGGGGCGCGGCGCGGCGCGGGGCGGGGCUGGGCGGGACGCUCGGUCAUCCCCGCCGGCCUCUCCCCGCAGCCAUGGCCGCCGGCCCCGCGCCGCCCCCCGGCAGCCCCCGGGCGCAGAUGCCGCAUCUGAGGAAGAUGGAGCGGGUGGUCGUGAGCAUGCAGGACCCCGACCAGGGCGUGAAGAUGCGGAGCCAGCGCCUGCUGGUCACCGUCAUUCCCCACGCGGUGACAGGUGAGGCGCGCCGGGGCGGGGGUGCGUGCGCGCCUCGGCCUCCCUCCACCUCCGUCUCUCCCGUGCAGGCAGCGACGUCGUGCAGUGGUUGGCCCAGAAGUUCUGCGUCUCGGAGGAGGAGGCCCUGCACCUGGGCGCCGUCCUGGUGCAGCACGGCUACAUCUACCCGCUGCGCGACCCCCGUAGCCUCAUGCUCCGGCCAGACGAGACGCCCUACAGGUUCCAGGUCAGGCUCGGGGGCGCAGGUGGGAGCCGGUGGGACCCCCAUCCCCACCCACCCAGCUUACCAACCUGGGGAGACAGGAGGGGCGCCAAGCUUGCUGGGAUUGGAGUGGGACUCCGCCAUGUCACCGUGGGCUGGUGGUCCAUCGCCCCCUCCCCAAAAGUCCUGGACCGCAAGUACCGAUGUGGUGAGAAGGACCCCGGCUGAGGGACGGAGCCUCAGUUUUCCUGGGGGCCACAGUAGGGCCCCACAAGGGGUCGUAUCUGCAGAGGAUUCUGCCGUCUUCCUGGGGGUCCUUAGGCCCAGUCCCUGAGGGGGCUGUGAAGGCCUGAGGACAGCAUUCCUGCCCUCCCUAACCACAUCAGGGUCCCGGGCCGACCUGCCGUCGGUUGUACCCCUCCCCAGGCACAGACUGUGACUACAUCCAAGACUUGUGCAGGCCCCCAGCCCCACCCCACCUUGAAUGGGGGCUUAGGGUGACCAGUGAGGGAGACAGUCCCUGAACAGGGCCCCAAGGAGCGAGUUGACCUCACUUCCAGGUGGAGAGACUGGCCAGUGGUCAGUGGAGUCUCUGGGUGCUGGGCAGGCAGGGAGACCCUCAGACACCCCCUGCCCAGCCCAGGCUUCUUCCCAGAGAGGUCUGAGGGUGGGGUGACACUGGGGAGGCACAGACGCAGGCGUCCUGGACACCUUCUCCCUGCACCACACCAGAGCCCGUACUUCUGGACAAGUACCCUGUGGCCGGCUGCAGAGCUGGACUAUGCCAUCUACCUGGCCAAGAAGAACAUCCGAAAACGGGGGACCCUGGUGGACUAUGAGAAGGACUGCUAUGACCGGCUACACAAGAAGAUCAACCACGUGUGGGACCUGGUGCUGAUGCAGGCGAGGGAGCAGCUGCGGGCAGCCAAGCAGCGCAGGAAGGGGGACAGGCUGGUCAUUGAGUGCCAGGAGCAGACCUACUGGCUGGUGAACAGGCCCCCGCCCGGAGCCCCCAGUGUGCUGGAGCAGGGUCCAGGGCGGGGAUCCUGCGCUGCCAGCCGUGUGCUCAUGGUGGAGGCCUCCAGAACCAGAGGGACCAGACCAGAGGGAGCAUCUGAGCCCCGCAGCAGCAAAACUCUUUGUUCAAACCGAGUCCCAACCAGACCCAGCAUCUGGAAAGAUGCACCUAGAACCUCACUGAUAAAACUUCUUAAGUUCACGACCCUAACAUUUCCCCAUACAAAGCUGGUCAGAGAGAGCGGGGACACAGGCUAGGACUCGCAGCUCGUCCGCCUCCUCCGCUCUGGCCCCAGCAAGGCCCCGACCGAUGAACUCAAUGAGUCACAUCUGGUUCCCCAGUGAUUCCCAUUAGUAGUAUUUCUCAAGUAUGUGUUGUUUAAAAACAUAAUUUAAGUACAUUUGAAAAUAUGACAUAUUAGACCGGGCUCGGUGGCUCACUUCUCUAAUCCCAGCACUUUGGGAGGCCGAGGCGGGCGGAUCACCUGAGUUCAGGAGUUCGAGACCAGCCAGAUCAACAUGGAGAAACCCCAUCUCUACUAAAAAUACAAAAUUAGCUGGGCGUGGUAGCUCAUGCCUGUAAUCCCAGCUACUGGAGAGGCUGAGGCAGGAGAAUGGCUUGAAUCCAGGAGGCGGAGGUUGUGGUGGGCUGACAUCGCACCACUGCACUCCAGCCUGGGCAACAAAAGUGAAACUCUGUCUCAAAAAAAUCAUAAAGAAAAGAAAAAAUAUGAUA
This 2195-nucleotide small RNA is filed under the name Pongo abelii (Sumatran orangutan). RNAcentral describes it as "retained intron". The record is from RNAcentral. Lineage: Eukaryota; Metazoa; Chordata; Mammalia; Primates; Hominidae.